UCCUGUUGAUCCUGCAGGAGAUUGCUGCUAUUGGGAUUCGACUAAGCCAUGCAAGUCAGAGGGACUCUUCGGAGUCACAGGCGAACUGCUCAGUAACACGUCAAUAAUCUGGCCUUAGGUCUGGGAAAACCUCGGGAAACUGAGGCUAAACCCGGAUAGGUGAAUUAUACUGGAAUGUUUUUUCACCCAAAGGCAACGCCUAAGGAUGAGUUGGCGGCCGAUUAGGCUGUUGGUAGUGUAAAGGACUACCAAACCUUCGAUCGGUAGGGGCCUUGAGAGAGGUAGCCCCGAGAAGGAUACUGAGACACGUGUCCUAGCCCUACGGGGUGCAGCAGGCGCGAAAACUCUACAAUGUACGCAAGUACGAUAGGGGAAUCCCAAGUGCUCAUGUUCUGCAUGGGCUUUUGCCAAUUGUAAAAAGCUUGGCGAAUAAGUGGUGGGUAAGACUGGUGCCAGCCGCCGCGGUAACCCCAGCGCCACUAGUGGCAAUCGCGUUUAUUGGGCCUAAAGCGUCCGUAGCCGGUUUGGUAAGUUCUGAGUGAAAUCGUUCUGCUCAACAGAACGGCAUGCUUGGAAUACUGCUGAACUAGAGACCGGAGAAGAGUUAGAAGUAUGUUGGGGGGAGCGGUAAAAUGCUAUAAUCCCUGAUGGACUACCUGUGGCGAAGGCGUCUAACUAGAACGGGUCUGACGGUGAGGGACGAAAGCCAGGGGAGCAAUCCGGAUUAGAUACCCGAGUAGUCCUGGCUGUAAACUCUGCGAGCUAGAUGUUGCGUAUUCUAUAUGAAUAUGCAGUGUCGGAGCGAAGGUGUUAAGCUCGCCGCCUGGGAAGUACGGUCGCAAGGCUGAAACUUAAAGGAAUUGGCGGGGGAGCACCACAAGGGGUGCGGCGUGCGGUUUAAUCGAAUUCAACGCCGAGAAUCUUACCAGAAGCGACGGCAGGAUGAAGGUCAGAUUAAGGGUCUUACCUGACGAGCCGAGAGGUAGUGCAUGGCCGUCGUCAGCUCGUACCGUGAGGUGUCCUCUUAAGUGAGGCAACGAGCGAGACCUAUACCUAUAAUUGCUAACAGGUUCUUUAGAACGACUGAGCACAUUAUGGGGACUGCCUUGGAAACGAGGAGGAAGGUGUAGGCAACGAUAGGUCUGUACGCUCCGAAUCUUCUGGGCUACACGCGCGCAACAAUGGUAGGCACAAUGGGAUGCGACUCCGAAAGGAGAAGCCAAUCCUCGAAAUCCUAUCCUAGUUUAGAUUGAGGGCUGCAAUUUGCCCUCAUGACAACGGAAUCCCUAGUAAUCGUAGUUCAUCAUACUACGGUGAAUAUGUCCCUGCUCCUUGCACACACCGCCCGUCAACUCAACCGAGCCAAGUUAAGAUGAGGCUUAAUUUUGUUAAUUCGAAUCUUAAUUUAGUGAGGUGGGGUAAGUCGUCACAAGGUA
RNAcentral lists this ribosomal RNA (1436 nucleotides) under metagenome. RNAcentral's name for it is "bacterial SSU rRNA". It matches the Rfam family "Archaeal small subunit ribosomal RNA". The record is from RNAcentral.